UACGUAGGUGGCAAGCGUUAUUCGGAAUUAUUGGGCGUAAAACGUGAGCAGGCUGUCUUGAUAGUCCAAGGUUAAAUACUGCAGCUCAACUGUAGUUCGCUUUGGAAACUUCGAGACUAGAGUGCGGGAGAGGUAAGUGGAAUUCCAUAUGUAGCGGUAAAAUGCUUAGAUAUAUGGCGGAACACCAGUGGCGAAGGCGGCUUACCAGCCCGUUUCUGACGCUCAGUCACGAAAGCGUGG
Molecule: ribosomal RNA, 240 nt
Filed under: uncultured bacterium
Lineage: Bacteria
Description: partial 16S ribosomal RNA
Rfam family: Bacterial small subunit ribosomal RNA
Source: RNAcentral